This 301-nucleotide ribosomal RNA is filed under the name uncultured bacterium. RNAcentral describes it as "partial 16S ribosomal RNA". It matches the Rfam family "Bacterial small subunit ribosomal RNA", at positions 509 to 807 of the family's 1533-position model. The record is from RNAcentral.
CAGCCGCCGCGGGAAUACGUAGGUGGCAAGCGUUGUCCGGAAUUAUUGGGCGUAAAGGGCACGCAGGCGGUUUCUUAAGUCUGAUGUGAAAGCCCCCGGCUCAACCGGGGAGGGUCAUUGGAAACUGGGAAACUUGAGUGCAGAAGAGGAGAGUGGAAUUCCACGUGUAGCGGUGAAAUGCGUAGAGAUGUGGAGGAACACCAGCGGCGAAGGCGACUCUCUGGUCUGUAACUGACGCUGAGGAGCGAAAGCGUGGGGAGCGAACAGGAUUAGAUACCCCGGUAGUCCCUGUCUCUUAUAC